UGGGCGGGACCGGGGUGAGUAAUGUCUGGGAAACGGCCUGAUGGAGGGGGAUAACUACUGGAAACGGUAGCUAAUACCGCAUAACGUCGCAAGACCAAAGAGGGGGACCUUCGGGCCUCUUGCCAUCGGAUGUGCCCAGAUGGGAUUAGCUAGUAGGUGGGGUAACGGCUCACCUAGGCGACGAUCCCUAGCUGGUCUGAGAGGAUGACCAGCCACACUGGAACUGAGACACGGUCCAG
This 239-nucleotide ribosomal RNA is filed under the name uncultured bacterium. Its description in RNAcentral is "partial 16S ribosomal RNA". It matches the Rfam family "Bacterial small subunit ribosomal RNA", at positions 104 to 334 of the family's 1533-position model. The record is from RNAcentral.